AACGAACGCUGGCGGCAUGCCUAACACAUGCAAGUCGAACGAGACCUUCGGGUCUAGUGGCGCACGGGUGCGUAACGCGUGGGAACCUGCCCUUAGGUUCGGAAUAACUCCCCGACAGGGGUGCUAAUACCGGAUAAUGUCUUCGGACCAAAGAUUUAUCGCCUUUGGAUGGGCCCGCGUUGGAUUAGCUAGUUGGUAGGGUAAAAGCCUACCAAGGCGACGAUCCAUAGCUGGUCUGAGAGGAUGAUCAGCCACACUGGGACUGAGACACGGCCCAGACUCCUACGGAAGGCAGCAGUGGGGAAUAUUGGACAAUGGGCGAAAGGCUGAUCCAGCAAUGCCGCGUGAGUGAUGAAGGCAUUAGGGUUGUAAAGCUCUUUUACCCGGGAUGAUAAUGACAGUACCGGGAGAAUAAGCUCCGGCUAACUCCGUG
Molecule: ribosomal RNA, 433 nt
Filed under: uncultured bacterium
Lineage: Bacteria
Description: partial 16S ribosomal RNA
Rfam family: Bacterial small subunit ribosomal RNA
Source: RNAcentral